This 355-nucleotide ribosomal RNA is filed under the name uncultured bacterium. RNAcentral's name for it is "bacterial SSU rRNA". It matches the Rfam family "Bacterial small subunit ribosomal RNA", at positions 917 to 1269 of the family's 1533-position model. The record is from RNAcentral.
GGACCCGCACAAGCAGUGGAGCAUGUGGUUUAAUUCGACGCAACGCGAAGAACCUUACCAGCGUUUGACAUGGGAAGUACCGGUUACAGAAUGGUAACCUUCAGUUCGGCUGGCUUCCGCACAGGUGCUGCAUGGCUGUCGUCAGCUCGUGUCGUGAGAUGUUGGUUAAGUCCCGCAACGAGCGCAACCCUUAUCGUUAGUUACUAACAGUUCGGCUGAGGACUCUAGCGAAACUGCCGGUGAUAAGCCGGAGGAAGGUGGGGAUGACGUCAAGUCCUCAUGGCCCUUACACGCUGGGCUACACACGUGCUACAAUGGCUAAUACAGAGGGCGGCAAACCCGCGAGGGGGGAGCG